This is a small nucleolar RNA of Physella acuta, 79 nucleotides long. RefSeq annotates it as small nucleolar RNA R38. The record is from RefSeq and is a predicted model, not a curated record. Lineage: Eukaryota; Metazoa; Mollusca; Gastropoda; Physidae.
GAUUGCCUAUGAUGAUAUUAGUUAUCCCUGUCUUAAAAUAGCUAAAUGCUCUGUGGGGAAAUCAAUUUCUGAGGCAGUG